AUGCCCGCCACAAGGCCGAGGAUGAUGUCUCACCGGCUUGUCCUGUCCGUGGCCAUCGUCGCCGUAGCCGCCCUGCUGGUGCACCACGCCGCGGGAUACCCGUGGCAGGUUUGCGGCGACGACCAAUUCGCGGCCGGCAGCAAGUACCUGGCCAACAUCAACCUCCUCGCCGCCUCGCUCCCCAAGAACGCCUCGGCGUCCCCAGACCUCUUCGCCACCGCCGAGGCCGGCGCGGCCCCGGACAAGGUCUGGGGCCUCGCGCUCUGCCGCGGCGACGCCAACGCCACGUCCUGCCUCAGCUGCCUCGCCCAGGCCUUCCGGGACCUGCCCAACGUGUGCGACUACAGCAAAGUGGCCACCAUGUACUACGACUCUUGCACGCUCCACUACUCCAACGCCUCCCAGGACCCCGCGCCGGUGGCGGCGCUGACGUAUAGGUUCUGGGAGUACACGAAUGUCACGUCGGAGAAGGGACAGUUCAACCGCCUCGUGGCCAGGCUCGUGAACGCCACCGCAGACUACGCCGCGUACAACUCCACGCGCCGGUACGCCUCCGGUGAGGCCGACUUCGACCUGGAGUUCCCCAAGAUCUACAGCUGGGCGCAGUGCACGCCCGACCUCACCGCGCCGCAGUGCUGGCGGUGCCUCGCCAAGAUCAUGGUGUUGUUGCCGGAGGUGUUCGUGGACAGUACAGGAGCCAGAGCUCUUCAGGUCAGGUGCAGCUUCCGGUACCAGACCUAUUCCUUCUUUGAUGGCCCUGUCAUGGUGCGCCUGCCAGCACCAGCACCGAGCACCCAAGCACCGGCGCCUGCUCCUGCGCCUGUUGCGGUACCCACGGGUUUGACGCCGGCGCCGGCGACGGCAUCCACACAAGGGAGAAAAUACAGUGUCCCUGGCAUGGUUCUUAUUAUUCUGCUGCCUACUCUAGCUGCCAUAAACUUUGUGGCUUGCUUCUUUUUCUGGAGAAGGAAGCGGCCACUACCAAAAACAAAACAGUCAGAUCCCAGUUAUUUCGCCGACGAGGAGGACAAUCAAAGUGUAGACUCGAUGUUGAUUGACAUUUCAACCUUGCGGGUUGCAACCGGGGAUUUUGCAGAUAGCAACAAGCUUGGUGAUGGCGGAUUUGGUGCGGUGUACAAGGGUAUUCUUCCAGACGGCGAUGAAAUAGCAGUGAAGAGACUAUCGAAGAGCUCAACACAAGGAGUUGAGGAGCUCAAAAAUGAACUCUCUUUGGUUGCAAAGCUUAGGCACAAGAACCUUGUAACACUUCUUGGCGUCUGCUUGGAGCAACAAGUGAGGUUGCUUGUCUACGAGUUUGUUCCUAACUGA
Molecule: ribosomal RNA, 1329 nt
Filed under: Triticum aestivum (bread wheat)
Lineage: Eukaryota; Viridiplantae; Streptophyta; Magnoliopsida; Poales; Poaceae
Description: partial small subunit ribosomal RNA
Source: RNAcentral